CGGAGGGGGUCUAGUCGUUGUUCGGAAUUACUGGGCGUAAAGCGUCACGUAGGCGGCGAUUUAAGUCAGAGGUGAAAGCCCGGGGCUCAACCCCGGAACAGCCUUUGAGACUGGAUUGCUUGAGCAUCGGAGAGGUGAGUGGAAUUCCGAGUGUAGAGGUGAAAUUCGUAGAUAUUCGGAAGAACACCAGUGGCGAAGGCGGCUCACUGGACGAUUGUUGACGCUGAGGUGCGAAAGCGUGGGGGAGCAAACAGGAUUAGAUACCCUGGUAGUCCACGCCGUAAACGAUGAUAACUAGCUGCUGGGGCUCAUGGAGUUUCGGUGGCGCAGCUAACGCAUUAAGUUAUCCGCCUGGGGAGUACGGUCGCAAGAUUA
This 375-nucleotide ribosomal RNA is filed under the name uncultured organism. RNAcentral describes it as "bacterial SSU rRNA". It matches the Rfam family "Bacterial small subunit ribosomal RNA", at positions 526 to 896 of the family's 1533-position model. The record is from RNAcentral.